This 1350-nucleotide ribosomal RNA is filed under the name Triticum aestivum (bread wheat). RNAcentral's name for it is "partial small subunit ribosomal RNA". The record is from RNAcentral. Lineage: Eukaryota; Viridiplantae; Streptophyta; Magnoliopsida; Poales; Poaceae.
AUGACCACCCACACGCCCGAGUUCCUUGGGCUAAGGAAUGGCACCGGGUUUCGGAGCCAGGCUGACUAUGGGAAGGGAGUCAUCAUUGGGCUGCUCCACAACGACAUCUAUGCGGCGCACGCUUCCUUCAAUGACCAUGGUGUUCCACCACCCCCCGCCCUCGCAAGGUGGAAGGGCUCGUGCGACGCGGCCCGGUGCAACAACAAACUUAUUGGUGCCAAGUCACUCAUUGCGGGUGAUGAUUCUGAUGACGAAGAGGGGCAUGGAACACACACCUCAUCCACAGCCGUCGAAAACUUCGUAACCGGCGCAUCAUACAAUGGUGUGGGCACAGGCACCGCGGCCGGAAUUGCCCCGAGCGCCCACAUUGCCAUGUAUAAGGUAUAUGUUGCUCGUGAUUGCAAGUUAUCUGACAUACUGGCCGGCCUAGAAGAGGCCAUCAAGGAUGGGGUGGACGUGCUCUCGCUCUCCCUUGGCAGCAGCACAAGCCCCAACUUUGAUCAAGACCCCAUAUUUAUUGGCGCAUUCAGUGCCGUGUCCAAGGGCAUCCUCAUGGUGUGCGCCACUGGCAACAGCGGUCCGAAUCAGCGCUCUGUCACCAACGAAGCACCCUGGUUGCUCACAGUCGUCGCUAGCUCCGUGGACCGGAGCUUCGGCGCCAACAUCCAUCUCGGCAAUGGCAAGAGCAUUGACGGAGAAGCACUUACCCAGAUAGCGAAUCCAAGCUCAAAGUUGCACUCUCUCCUUUACUCCAAGGAAUGCGGCUACACCACCAUUGUUACAGAUUACAACUCCAGUGUUGUACAGGUGACUGCGGCCGAUGGCGAGGCUCUCAUAGCUUACAUUGCGUCGACAAACAAUAGCUCUGUGGCGUCUCUUGCGUACAACGAUACACAGUUUGGCGUCCGCCCUGCCCCAGUCGUGGCCUCGUUCUCUUCCCGGGGACCAAGCUCACUCGCCCCCAACAUCAUAAAGCUGGACAUACUGGCACCGGGCCUCAACAUCCUUGCUGCUUGGCCGUCAAGAACGGGCCAUGGACAGGGCCCUUUCAACAUCAUAUCAGGCAUAUCCAUGGCGACGCCACAUGUCAGUGGUGUCGCGGCGCUCAUCAAAGGCAUCCAUCCUGACUGGUCACCGGCCACCAUCAAGUCCGCCAUCCUGACAAUGUCGGACAUCAUUAACGGUUCCAGCGGCUCAAUCUUGGACGAGCAACAUAGAAAGGCCAGCGUGUACGACACAUGUGCCGGCCAUGUAAACCCGUCGAGAGCUGCCGACCCUAGCUUGGUGUAUGACCUCAGUGUCAUUACUACGCUGGCUACAUCUGCUAGCUCCUUGGUGACAGCGGCCUAG